GGGCUUGGGGGCUUGCUCCCGGGUUAGUGGCGAACGGGUGAGUAAUAUAUCGGAACAUAUCCGGAAGUGGGGGAUAACGUAGCGAAAGUUACGCUAAUACCGCAUAUGCCCUGAGGGGGAAAGGGGGGGAUCGCAAGACCUCUCGCUUUCGGAGUGGCCGAUACCGGAUUAGCUAGAUGGUGAGGUAAAGGCUCACCAUGGCGACGAUCCGUAGCGGGUCUGAGAGGACGACCCGCCACACUGGAACUGAGACACGGUCCAGACUCCUACGGGAGGCAGCAGUGGGGAAUUUUGGACAAUGGGCGCAAGCCUGAUCCAGCCAUACCGCGUGAGUGAAGAAGGCCUUCGGGUUGUAAAGCUCUUUCAGCCGGAAAGAAAUUGCUUCUAUUAAUACUAGGGGUAGAUGACGGUACCGGAAGAAGAAGCACCGGCUAACUACGUGCCAGCAGCCGCGGUAAUACGUAGGGUGCGAGCGUUAAUCGGAAUUACUGGGCGUAAAGCGUGCGCAGGCGGUUUGGUAAGACAGAUGUGAAAUCCCCGGGCUUAACCUGGGAACUGCAUUUGUGACUGCCAGACUAGAGUGUAGCAGAGGGGGGUAGAAUUCCACGUGUAGCAGUGAAAUGCGUAGAGAUGUGGAGGAAUACCGAUGGCGAAGGCAGCCCCCUGGGCUAACACUGACGCUCAUGCACGAAAGCGUGGGGAGCAAACAGGAUUAGAUACCCUGGUAGUCCACGCCCUAAACGAUGUC
This 748-nucleotide ribosomal RNA is filed under the name uncultured bacterium. Its description in RNAcentral is "bacterial SSU rRNA". It matches the Rfam family "Bacterial small subunit ribosomal RNA", at positions 68 to 813 of the family's 1533-position model. The record is from RNAcentral.